GUGGGGAAUAUUGCGCAAUGGGCGAAAGCCUGACGCAGCGACGCCGCGUGAGGGAUGAAGGUUUUCGGAUCGUAAACCUCUGUCAGAAGGGAAGAAACUACGUUGUGCUAAUCAGCAGCGUACUGACGGUACCUUCAAAGGAAGCACCGGCUAACUCCGUGCCAGCAGCCGCGGUAAUACGGAGGGUGCAAGCGUUAAUCGGAAUUACUGGGCGUAAAGCGCACGUAGGCUGUAGUGUAAGUCAGGGGUGAAAUCCCACGGCUCAACCGUGGAACUGACAUUGAUACUGCACAACUUGAAUCCGGGAGAGGGUGGCGGAAUUCCGGGUGUAGGAGUGAAAUCCGUAGAUAUCCGGAGGAACACCGGUGGCGAAGGCGGCCACCUGGACAGGUACUGACGCUGAGGCGCGAAAGCGUGGGGAGCAAACAGGAUUAGAAACCCUGGUAGUCC
This 450-nucleotide ribosomal RNA is filed under the name uncultured bacterium. Its description in RNAcentral is "partial 16S ribosomal RNA". It matches the Rfam family "Bacterial small subunit ribosomal RNA", at positions 354 to 796 of the family's 1533-position model. The record is from RNAcentral.